GUACACGCUGUGACUAGCAUAUCAAUAAGCGGAGGAAAAGAAACUAACAAGGAUUCCCCUAGUAACGGCGAGUGAAGCGGGAAGAGCUCAAAUUUGAAAUCUUAAAGGGUUUCCCUUUACGAAUUGUAGUUUAAAGAAGUGUUUUCUGUUGAGGUUUUGGUAAAAGUUCUUUGGAAUAGGACAUCAUAGAGGGUGAGAAUCCCGUAUUUGACCUUUACUUUCAACUUUGUGAUACACUUUCAAAGAGUCGGAUUGUUUGGGAAUGCAGUCCAAAAUGGGUGGUAAAUUUCAUCUAAAGCUAAAUAUUGGCGAGAGACCGAUAGCGAACAAGUACCGUGAGGGAAAGAUGAAAAGAACUUUGAAAAGAGAGUUAAACAGUACGUGAAAUUGUCAGAAGGGAAGCGUUUGACACCAGUGUUGUUUUUCUGAAAAUCAAUUAAAGAACUGUUUAUGCUAAGCUGUUUAGACUUUAUCAGCUAUCUGUUUAGUUUUGAGCUUUUCUUUAAUGCACUUUUCAGUUAACAAGUCAACAUCAAUUUCUUUUGCUGUAAAAAAGCUUGAGGAAGGUGGCUUGAGAUUCGUCUUAAGUGUUUAUAGCCUCUUGCCUAUGCAGUCGGAGAGAUUGAGGUCUGCAGCGUAGAUCCUUCGGGGCUAAAUGCAUUUGUGCUAAGUUAUAGCAUUUUAUAGACAACUUGUUGACUAUGAUUUGUCUUGUAGCUUACUCGCUUAUGUUAUUUUACCUACGCUUAGGAUGUUGAAGAUGUAGCACAUCAU
Molecule: ribosomal RNA, 774 nt
Filed under: uncultured Neocallimastigales
Lineage: Eukaryota; Fungi; Neocallimastigomycota; Neocallimastigomycetes; Neocallimastigales
Description: partial large subunit ribosomal RNA
Rfam family: Eukaryotic large subunit ribosomal RNA
Source: RNAcentral